AGUGAACGCUGGCGGUAGGCCUAACACAUGCAAGUCGAACGGCAGCACAGUAAGAGCUUGCUCUUACGGGUGGCGAGUGGCGGACGGGUGAGGAAUACAUCGGAAUCUACUUUUUCGUGGGGGAUAACGUAGGGAAACUUACGCUAAUACCGCAUACGACCUACGGGUGAAAGCAGGGGAUCUUCGGACCUUGCGCGAUUGAAUGAGCCGAUGUCGGAUUAGCUAGUUGGCGGGGUAAAGGCCCACCAAGGCGACGAUCCGUAGCUGGUCUGAGAGGAUGAUCAGCAACAAGGGAACUAAAAAGCGGUAAAGACUCAUAAGGGAGGCAGCAGUGGGGAAUAUGGGACAAAGGGCGCAAGCCUGAUCCAGCCAUACCGAGUGGGUGAAGAAGGCCUUCGGGUUGUAAAGCCCUUUUGUUGGGAAAGAAAAGCAGCAGGUUAAUACCCCGCUGUUCUGAAGGUACCCAAAGAAUAAGCACCGGCUAACUUCGUG
RNAcentral lists this ribosomal RNA (492 nucleotides) under uncultured bacterium. RNAcentral's name for it is "partial 16S ribosomal RNA". It matches the Rfam family "Bacterial small subunit ribosomal RNA", at positions 29 to 507 of the family's 1533-position model. The record is from RNAcentral.